GACGAACGCUGGCGGCGUGCUUAACACAUGCAAGUCGAACGGUAAGGCCCUUCGGGGUACACGAGUGGCGAACGGGUGAGUAACACGUGGGUGAUCUGCCCUGUACUUCGGGAUAAGCCUGGGAAACUGGGUCUAAUACCGGAUAGGACCACUGCCUGCAUGGGUGGUGGUGGAAAGCUUUUGCGGUGUGGGAUGGGCCCGCGGCCUAUCAGCUUGUUGGUGGGGUGAUGGCCUACCAAGGCGACGACGGGUAGCCGGCCUGAGAGGGUGACCGGCCACACUGGGACUGAGAUACGGCCCAGACUCAUACGGGAGGCAGCAGUGGGGAAUAUUGCACAAUGGGCGCAAGCCUGAUGCAGCGACGCCGCGUGAGGGAUGACGGCCUUCGGGUUGUAAACCUCUUUCAGCACCGACGAAGCGCAAGUGACGGUAGGUGCAGAAGAAGGACCGGCCAACUACGUGCCAGCCGCCGCGGUAA
RNAcentral lists this ribosomal RNA (478 nucleotides) under uncultured bacterium. RNAcentral's name for it is "partial 16S ribosomal RNA". It matches the Rfam family "Bacterial small subunit ribosomal RNA", at positions 28 to 523 of the family's 1533-position model. The record is from RNAcentral.